Molecule: ribosomal RNA, 253 nt
Filed under: uncultured bacterium
Lineage: Bacteria
Description: partial 16S ribosomal RNA
Rfam family: Bacterial small subunit ribosomal RNA
Source: RNAcentral
UACGGAGGGGGCUAGCGUUAUUCGGAAUUAUUGGGCGUAAAGGGCGCGUAGGUGGCGCGACAAGUCAGUGGUGAAAGUUCGACGCUUAACGUCGAAUCGGCCACUGAUACUGUUGGGCUUGAGCACUGUAGAGGCUAAUGGAAUUCCGGGUGUAGCGGUGGAAUGCGUAGAGAUCCGGAAGAACACCGGUGGCGAAGGCGGUUAGCUGGGCAGUUGCUGACACUGAGGCGCGACAGCGUGGGGAGCAAACAGG